UGGGGAGUGGCGAAAUUGGCAGACGCGCCGUCCUGUCUCGACGGUGUUAUAACAACGUUAUAACUUGGAGGUUCGAAUCCUUCCUCUCCAGCCA
Molecule: transfer RNA, 94 nt
Filed under: Methylococcaceae bacterium TMED69
Lineage: Bacteria; Pseudomonadati; Pseudomonadota; Gammaproteobacteria; Methylococcales; Methylococcaceae
Description: tRNA-Asp
Rfam family: tRNA
About the family: Transfer RNA (tRNA) molecules are approximately 80 nucleotides in length. Their secondary structure includes four short double-helical elements and three loops (D, anti-codon, and T loops).
Source: RNAcentral